GAAAUGCGAUAAGUAAUGUGAAUUGCAGAAUUCCGUGAAUCAUCGAAUCUUUGAACGCACAUUGCGCCCUCUGGUAUUCCGGGGGGCAUGCCUGCCCGAGCGUCAUUGCGAACCCCUCAAGCACGGCUUGUGUGAUGGGCCCUCCCGCGUCUUGGUCGUCAAGACGGGCCCGAAAUGCAGUGGCGGCUUCGCGGUUAUCCGAUCAGCCAGAGCGUAUGGGGACUUUCUCUCUGUCACACGCCCGCGGCGCGGACCGACGCCUGUCGACCUUCAUUCAUCGUUUUCUCGGUUGACCUCGGAUCAGGUAGGGAUACCCGCUGAACUUAAGC
Molecule: unclassified non-coding RNA, 329 nt
Filed under: plant metagenome
Description: partial contains 5.8S ribosomal RNA, internal transcribed spacer 2, and large subunit ribosomal RNA
Rfam family: 5.8S ribosomal RNA (bases 1-105)
Source: RNAcentral